RNAcentral lists this small nucleolar RNA (140 nucleotides) under Meriones unguiculatus (Mongolian gerbil). Lineage: Eukaryota; Metazoa; Chordata; Mammalia; Rodentia; Muridae. The record is from RNAcentral.
AGGCACUAUCUUUGAACCUUUGGGUAUCUGACCUGUGACCUCAGAGUCUAGGGACAAUGUCAGAGAAGAUGUAGCGUUUUCACAUCCGGAGCUGCUUUGUGGUGCCACCUCAGGGAUUCCUUUAGCAGCAAAUGACAUUU